AUGGAGGGGAGGGCGGGCAGGUUCCCGUCCGAGAUGGAGGGGAUGGUGCGCGGCUUCGUCGUCGGGACGUCCAGGCCCGAGAUGGACGGGAGGGAGGGUUCCCCGGCUGUUUUAGCUUCUUCGGCGGCAUCAGGCACCGCCGGCGGCGAGCCAUGGUCGCACCUCGACCCGCAGAGCGCUUCUUCCCCACCCCCUCCCGCGGCCCCUGCCGCCGGUCAAGACCCCGCGGCGGAUGAAGCCGUCGCUGCGGGGCUGCCGGGAGAUCUGGGAUCCUUGAUUGCUUCUAUGCUACCCUCAGCGUACGACCGAGGAGCACUGGAGGGAGUGUCUAGCUGCUGGCGCGCCGCCGUCAGGGAUUGCCCGGUACGGCCACUGCCCCUGAUCCUGAGCGCGGAUUUGCGUUUGACUGAUUGUUUCGGCGAGGGCAACAUCACCAGGAGUAUGCAUCCUAGACUCUCUCAGUCUUCGUCUGAUACAGCUACGGCACUCGGCUCUCUGAAGAAUUGGGUCAUUCUGGGGUUCGAACCAAAAUGGAAUCCUGAGGGGGAUUUGAUCGUCAGUCACCGGCAGUGUGUUCUUUUCCAGCCACUCAAAGGCAACUUGCGUUAUCUUCCUGAUCCUUCGGCAUCUGUGAAGAAUGGUCUGUCAGGAACCUGCAGGAUCACACAAGCUGAAGGCAUUCUAUUGUAUAGUCAGCCAGCUACUGAGUCAGGCAUGUUUCUGCAGAAGAUUGUUCUUAGUGACUCAUGCCUGGGGCCAGACUUCAGAGUGGCAGGAUUGGCAGCUUCCAGGGGCUCCCAUCACCUGGCCUUGUGCACAGCAGGUAUGGAUGCUUGGUGCGUGUGCACUGCGCCAUUCCUCACUCUUGGCUCCGACUUAGAAUUCAUGCAUGACAAGCUCUACAUCCUUGGCGGCCAUCAGGAGGACUUGUACCAGAUUGAGUUUGGUGCAGAAAUGGUCUGGUUCCCACAUGUAUGUGCGGCAAGAAGAUGCGUGACGAUGCACCUGCCUCAGGACGGCACGCACGAGCAGAGGAAUCUUGUCCGGUCGCGCAACGAUCUCCUCUUGGUCGUCAGAAGCUUCAACGAGAACUGGGAUCAGCUUGUCACUGUCAGCGUUUUCAAGUUGAACGUGCACAACUGGACAUGGACACAGGUGCAUGCCCUACAUGGACAGAGUCUGCUCAUCAGCAUGUCGAGCAGCGUGGCUAUAGAUUUUUCAGCCUACCAUGAGGUGGAGUACCGCAGGCUUGCCGAGCGCAUUUAUUUUCUGGAUCAGUUCUGCCCCGGGUUCCUGCCGGGGAGAGAUGAUCACUUCAGCUAUCGAGCUCAGUUCUAUGAUAUGCUCGAAGGACAGGUGACGGAGCUUCUGAUUGGGGCGCAGCCAGCCUCCCGGCGGCCAGGUUUCCCGAUGUGGUUCUCUCCUACGGAAUAG
This 1434-nucleotide ribosomal RNA is filed under the name Triticum aestivum (bread wheat). RNAcentral's name for it is "partial small subunit ribosomal RNA". The record is from RNAcentral. Lineage: Eukaryota; Viridiplantae; Streptophyta; Magnoliopsida; Poales; Poaceae.